RNAcentral lists this ribosomal RNA (359 nucleotides) under uncultured bacterium. RNAcentral's name for it is "bacterial SSU rRNA". It matches the Rfam family "Bacterial small subunit ribosomal RNA", at positions 441 to 793 of the family's 1533-position model. The record is from RNAcentral.
AGUGAGGAAGGUGGAUAUGUUAAUAGCAUAUUCAUUUGACGUUAGCUGCAGAAGAAGCACCGGCUAACUCCGUGCCAGCAGCCGCGGUAAUACGGAGGGUGCGAGCGUUAAUCGGAAUUACUGGGCGUAAAGCGCAUGCAGGUGGUUUGUUAAGUCAGAUGUGAAAGCCCGGGGCUCAACCUCGGAAUUGCAUUUGAAACUGGCAAACUAGAGUACUGUAGAGGGGGUAGAAUUUCAGGUGUAGCGGUGAAAUGCGUAGAGAUCUGAAGGAAUACCGGUGGCGAAGGCGGCCCCCUGGACAGAUACUGACACUCAGAUGCGAAAGCGUGGGGAGCAAACAGGAUUAGAUACCCUGGUAG